This 465-nucleotide ribosomal RNA is filed under the name uncultured bacterium. RNAcentral's name for it is "partial 16S ribosomal RNA". It matches the Rfam family "Bacterial small subunit ribosomal RNA", at positions 28 to 507 of the family's 1533-position model. The record is from RNAcentral.
GACGAACGCUGGCGGCGUGCUUAACACAUGCAAGUCGAACGGAAAGGCCCCUUUGGGGGUACUCGAGUGGCGAACGGGUGAGUAACACGUGAGUAACCUGCCCUUGACUUCGGGAUAACUUCAGGAAACUGGGGCUAAUACCGGAUAGGAAUCCUUGCUGCAUGGUGGGGGUUGGAAAGCUUCGGCGGUUUUGGGUGGACUCGCGGCUUAUCAGCUUGUUGGUGGGGUAGUGGCUUACCAAGGCUUUGACGGGUAGCCGGCCUGAGAGGGCGACCGGCCACAUUGGGACUGAGAGACGGCCCAGACUCCUACGGGAGGCAGCAGUGGGGAAUAUUGCACAAUGGGCGGAAGCCUGAUGCAGCAACGCCGCGUGCGGGAUGACGGCCUUCGGGUUGUAAACCGCUUUCAGCAGGGGCGAAGCUUGUGGUGACGGUACCUGCAGAAGAAGCACCGGCUAACUACGUG